Molecule: ribosomal RNA, 440 nt
Filed under: uncultured bacterium
Lineage: Bacteria
Description: partial 16S ribosomal RNA
Rfam family: Bacterial small subunit ribosomal RNA
Source: RNAcentral
CCUACGGGUGGCAGCAGUAGGGAAUAUUUCUCAAUGGGGGAAACCCUGAUGCAGCAACGCCGCGUGGAGGAUGAAGGUUUUCGGUUUGUAAACUCCUUUUCUUAGCGAAGAUAAUGACGGUAUCUAACGAAUAAGCCCCGGCUAACUCCGUGCCAGCAGCCGCGGUCAUACGGAGGGUGCGAGCGUUACUCGGAAUCACUGGGCGUAAAGAGCGCGUAGGCGGGAUAGCAAGUCAGAUGUGAAAUCCUAUGGCUUAACCAUAGAACUGCAUUUGAAACUGUUAUUCUAGAGUAUGUGAGAGGUAGGUGGAAUUCUUGGUGUAGGGGUAAAAGCCGUAGAGAUUAAGAGGAAUACUCAUUGCGAAGGCGACCUGCUAGAACAUAACUGACGCUGAUGCGCGAAAGCGUGGGGAGCAAACAGGAUUAGAUACCCCAGUAGUC